Molecule: unclassified non-coding RNA, 352 nt
Filed under: soil metagenome
Description: partial contains 5.8S ribosomal RNA, internal transcribed spacer 2, and large subunit ribosomal RNA
Rfam family: 5.8S ribosomal RNA (bases 1-120)
Source: RNAcentral
GAUGAAGAACGCAGCGAAAUGCGAUAAGUAAUGUGAACUGCAGAAUUCAGUGAAUCAUCGAAUCUUUGAACGCACAUUGCGCCCGCCAGUAUUCUGGCGGGCAUGCCUGUUCGAGCGUCAUUACAACCCUCAGGCCCCCGGGCCUGGCGUUGGGGAUCGGCGGAGCCCCCCGUGGGCACACGCCGUCCCCCAAAUGCAGUGGCGGUCCCGCCGCAGCUUCCAUCGCGUAGUAGCUAACACCUCGCGACUGGAGAGCGGCGCGGCCACGCCGUAAAACACCCAACUCUUCUGAAGUUGACCUCGAAUCAGGUAGGAAUACCCGCUGAACUUAAGCAUAUCAAUAAGCGGAGGA